RNAcentral lists this ribosomal RNA (2056 nucleotides) under metagenome. RNAcentral's name for it is "bacterial LSU rRNA". It matches the Rfam family "Bacterial large subunit ribosomal RNA", at positions 1 to 2004 of the family's 2925-position model. The record is from RNAcentral.
CGAAGAUACAAAGGGCGCGAGGCGGAUGCCUUGGCGCGGGAAGUCGACGAAGGGCGCGGCAAGCUGCGAUAAGCCGCGGGGAGGCGCAAACGGCCUUUGAUCCGCGGAUUCCCGAAUGGGGGAACCCAGCAGGGGCAAUGCCCUGCUACCGGCCGCCGAACGCAUAGGCGGCCAGGAGGCAACCGGGGGAACUGAAACAUCUAAGUACCCCGAGGAAGAGAAAUCAACCGAGAUCCCGGGAGUAGCGGCGAGCGAAACCGGGCCAGCCCAAACCGGCGCGCGUGCAAGCGUGCGGGCGUUUCCGCGCCGGUGUUGUUGGGCGGGGCAACCGAGGUCCGCAUGCCUCGGCCGCUGUUACAAACCAGCCAUCUAGGGGAACGGCCUGGGAAGGCCGGCGGAACAGGGUGAGAGCCCCGUACCCGGAAGGUCGCUGGCAGCGGGUCUCCGGCCCAGAGUAGCGCGGGGCACGUGAAACCCCGCGCGAAGCAGGGGGGACCACCCUCCAAGGCUGAACACUCUCCCGCGACCGAUAGCGAACCAGUACCGUGAGGGAAAGGUGAAAAGCACCCCGAGAGGGGAGUGAAACAGCGCCUGAAACCGCGCGCCCACGAGCAGUCGGAGCACCCAUCGCGGUGUGACGGCGUGCCUUUUGUAGAAUGAGCCAGCGAGUCACGAUGCGCGGCGAGGUUAAGCUAUGAAGCGAGCCGCAGCGAAAGCGAGUCUUUAAGACGGCGACAUGAGUCGCGCGUCGUGGACGCGAAGCCGGGUGAGCUACCCAUGGGCAGGCUGAAGCGGGGGUAAGACCCCGUGGAGGGCCGAACCCACUUCGGUUGAAAACGGAGGGGAUGACCCGUGGGUAGGGGUGAAAGGCCAAUCAAACCCGGAGAUAUCUCGUUCUCCCCGAAAUAGCUUUAGGGCUAGCCCCGGCCGUUUUCCCGCGGCGGUAGAGCACUGGACGGAGGAGGGGGCCUCACCGCCUACCGAUGCCGACCAAACUCCGAAUGCCGCGAGACCAAAGGCCGGGAGUCAGAGCAUGUGGGCUAAGCUGUGUGCUCGAGAGGGAAACAGCCCAGACCGCCCGCUAAGGCCCCCAAGUCAUCGCUGAGUGGCAAAGGAUGUGCGUCCGCCCAGACAACCAGGAUGUUGGCUUAGAAGCAGCCAUGCAUUCAAAGAGUGCGUAACAGCUCACUGGUCGAGUGGACAUGCGCCGACAAUUCACGGGGCUAAGCGAUGCGCCGAAGCGGCGGAAUGUAUUAAACAUUGGUAGGGGAGCUUCCCCUGCGCGGCGAAGCCGGAGGGCGACCGACGGUGGAGCGCAGGGGAGUGAGGAUGCUGGCAUGAGUAACGAGAGCGGCGCGGGAAACGCCGCCGCCGUAAGCCCAAGGUUUCCUGGGCAAGGCUAAUCCUCCCAGGGUCAGUCGGGAGCUAAGGCGAGGCCGGAAGGCGUAGCCGAUGCGCAACAGGCGGACAUUCCUGUACCGCCUCGGGACCGCUACGACCGAAGGGGCGACGGAGAAGGGUACGCAGGCGGGGUUCUGGACGCCCCCGUGAAAGCAUGUAGGCCGCAGGGCAGGCAAAUCCGCCCUGCGCACAAGGCCGAGACGCGAGACGAAGCCGCAAGGCGAAGCUGCGGAGCCCACGCUCCCUGGAAAAACCCCUAGGCAGGGCCCGAGGCGCCCGUACCAAAACCGACACAGGUGGGCGGGUAGAGCAUACCGAGGCGAUCGGGGGAACCAUGGUCAAGGAACUCGGCAUAAUCGCUCCGUAACUUCGGGAGAAGGAGUGCCGCUGCAGGUGGAGGGACCAGCUCCCCGAGCCCGCGGCGGCCGCAGCGAAACGGCCCAAGCGACUGUUUACCAAAAACACAGGACUCUGCCAACCCGCGAGGGGAAGUAUAGGGUCUGACGCCUGCCCGGUGCCGGAAGGUUACGCGGAUGCGUUAGCACUCGUGCGAAGCGCUGAAGCCAAGCCCCGGUAAACGGCGGCCGUAACUAUAACGGUCCUAAGGUAGCGAAAUUCCUUGUCGGGUAAGUUCCGACCCCAACCACCGAUGAUG